UCCCCCAGCUCCGCAGCCCAGAUUCCCGUCCCCAACGCGCCUCCUUUCCAGCUUCAUCCGAAUCCAUCCAGGCGCAGCCCUGCCUCAGACGCACAGCCCUGCGGGACCCGCAAGCGCUCUAGCAGCUCUGCCCACGAGUCCUGGAGCUCCCGGGACUUGAGCUCAGGACCCGCUCCAGUGCCGUGGGCCGGGCGGGCGUGCGGAAGCCGGAUCCAGCUUUCCCCUCAAUUCACCCUGGGUGGAUCCGGUCUGCACACUCUGGACUUCAGCAGACUCUGGACUGCGGGUUGUGGGGUCGGGUGGCCAGGGACGCCGGGGCUGGAGCCCUGGGUCCUUCUGGCCUCGGCACAAACCGCCUUGGAACGCAGACUCCAGGACGCCAUGGGCUGAACCUGCUGGGUGGUCCUGCCUGGAUCCCGCCUCACCAUGGGACUGUGCGGGCGGUCAGAGCUGGGCUGGAGAAGCUCGGGUGGACGCUGUGACACUUAGGGCACAGCCAGGAGGCUGCGAGGAGCCAGGCCGGUGUUGGAAGAGACCAGGGCUCCGUGGGCAUCCCGCAGCGCCCGGAACCUGCGCCGACAGCCUCCACAGAACCUGGGGUCCCAGCUGGAGCCAGCGUGGAGGGCGGGCGGAUUUGCCACCGGAGUCGGAGCUGGGUCUGAGAAGAGUGGGAGGCCGCCGCGUGAUGCUGGAGGCCAUAGGCACAGCCUGAGGGGGCCAGACGAUGGGAGGAGGAAGUGAGUGAUUUUAAUUUUUUA
RNAcentral lists this long non-coding RNA (758 nucleotides) under Nannospalax galili (Upper Galilee mountains blind mole rat). Its description in RNAcentral is "lncRNA (ENSNGAG00000024392.1)". The record is from RNAcentral. Lineage: Eukaryota; Metazoa; Chordata; Mammalia; Rodentia; Spalacidae.